CUACGGGUUGCUGCAGUGGGGAAUAUUGCACAAUGGAGGAAACUCUGAUGCAGCAACGCCGCGUGGAGGAUGACACUUUUCGGAGCGUAAACUCCUUUUAUAUAGGAAGAAGAUGACGGUACUAUAUGAAUAAGCGCCGGCUAACUCCGUGCCAGCAGCCGCGGUAAUACGGAGGGCGCAAGCGUUACUCGGAAUCACUGGGCGUAAAGAGCGUGUAGGCGGAUUAAAAAGUCAGAAGUGAAAUCCUAUAGCUUAACUAUAGAACUGCUUCUGAAACUCUUAAUCUAGAAUAUGGGAGAGGUAGAUGGAAUUUCUGGUGUAGGGGUAAAAUCCGUAGAGAUCAGAAGGAAUACCGAUUGCGAAGGCGAUCUACUAGAACAUUAUUGACGCUGAGACGCGGAAGCGUGGGGAGUAAACAGGAUUAGAUACCCCCGUAGUC
Molecule: ribosomal RNA, 439 nt
Filed under: uncultured bacterium
Lineage: Bacteria
Description: partial 16S ribosomal RNA
Rfam family: Bacterial small subunit ribosomal RNA
Source: RNAcentral